UCCAACAUAUGCACAUUGACAGAUUGACAAUAACGAUCCAUCCAAUAUGCAACGACAUAACAUAAGUUGCAUGAGAUUGAACAUGUUCAAAACUCACGCAAAUUCUGACCAGAGCUGGUUCCCACUUCUCUUUUAACUUCUCACUGAUUCAGAGCUUAUGAUGCCACCGGAACCUGAAUGUGCAGUCAAUCCAAUCAUAGAACCUCGUUGCUGUCCAAAAUGUCUC
Molecule: long non-coding RNA, 226 nt
Filed under: Linum usitatissimum (flax)
Lineage: Eukaryota; Viridiplantae; Streptophyta; Magnoliopsida; Malpighiales; Linaceae
Description: long non-coding RNA (LUSI_LNC000399)
Source: RNAcentral